RNAcentral lists this long non-coding RNA (334 nucleotides) under Gallus gallus (chicken). The record is from RNAcentral. Lineage: Eukaryota; Metazoa; Chordata; Aves; Galliformes; Phasianidae.
CUCCAGCCAGCUCUGCUUCUCGCUGCACGAAGGUCUCUGUGUCUGGCAUUUGAUGGCCCCAGCCUCAUAAGGAGCCAUAAAAAUGGAAGGGCAACUGCACCUUAAGCAUGGGCGCAGGUAGAGCCGCUGAGCUGCCGUCUCAUCCGCACCGAUGGAGCUGCGGGGCACGGAGGGAUGGUGGCAUGCAGUGGCAUGCAGUGACAGUGACAUGCCAGUCUGGUCCCGUGGAAGGAUGAGGAGCUCCACACGCUCACGGCCCUGGGAGAGCAGAGGCAGCGGUCAGGAAUGAAAACACUGACUAGUGCUAGACCUUGGCCCCCAGCGUGUCCCCGGC